RNAcentral lists this ribosomal RNA (470 nucleotides) under uncultured bacterium. RNAcentral describes it as "partial 16S ribosomal RNA". It matches the Rfam family "Bacterial small subunit ribosomal RNA", at positions 30 to 507 of the family's 1533-position model. The record is from RNAcentral.
CGAACGCUGGCGGCGUGCUUCACACAUGCAAGUCGAACGCUGAAGCUUGGUGCUUGCACUGGGUGGAUGAGUGGCGAACGGGUGAGUAAUACGUGAGUAACCUGCCCUUGACUCUGGGAUAAGCCUGGGAAACUGGGUCUAAUACUGGAUACGACAUGUCACCGCAUGGUGGUGUGUGGAAAGGGUUUUACUGGUUUUGGACGGGCUCACGGCCUAUCAGCUUGUUGGUGGGGUAAUGGCUCACCAAGGCGACGACGGGUAGCCGGCCUGAGAGGGUGACCGGCCACACUGGGACUGAGACACGGCCCAGACUCCUACGGGAGGCAGCAGUGGGGAAUAUUGCACAAUGGGCGGAAGCCUGAUGCAGCGACGCCGCGUGAGGGAUGACGGCCUUCGGGUUGUAAACCUCUUUCAGCACGGAAGAAGCGAAAGUGACGGUACGUGCAGAAGAAGCGCCGGCUAACUACGUG